Transfer RNA from Agaricus bisporus var. burnettii JB137-S8, 73 nucleotides. It matches the Rfam family "tRNA". Rfam says of the family: Transfer RNA (tRNA) molecules are approximately 80 nucleotides in length. Their secondary structure includes four short double-helical elements and three loops (D, anti-codon, and T loops). The record is from Rfam. Lineage: Eukaryota; Fungi; Basidiomycota; Agaricomycetes; Agaricales; Agaricaceae.
GUCUCGAUAGCUAAGUGGUUAUAGCAUGAGAUUGCAAAUCUCGGGGUCCGGUGUUCAAAUCACCGUCGGGACU